Molecule: ribosomal RNA, 253 nt
Filed under: uncultured bacterium
Lineage: Bacteria
Description: partial 16S ribosomal RNA
Rfam family: Bacterial small subunit ribosomal RNA
Source: RNAcentral
UACGGAGGGUGCAAGCAUUAAUCGGAAUUAUUGGGCGUAAAGGGCGCGUAGGCGGAAUAGCAAGUCAGAUGUGAAAUUCCGGGGCUCAACCUCGGGACUGCAUUUGAAACUGUUAAUCUGGAGGGUUGGCGGAGAAAAUGGAAUUCCACGUGUAGCGGUGAAAUGCGUAGAUAUGUGGAAGAACACCUGUGGCGAAAGCGGUUUUCUAGCUAACACCUGACGCUGAGGCGCGAGAGCAAGGGGAGCAAACAGG